GUGAAUAUAGGGUGACUCUGUAAAGAGAACCCCGGUUUCCACUUAUUAUCAUACACUGUGCACUAAACCUUUUUUAACUUACGUUGAAAACACUUGUGUCAAAUUAUGUUUGUGAAUGUACAAUCAUGUUAAAAUGAAAGUA
This 142-nucleotide unclassified non-coding RNA is filed under the name Ruinenia rubra. Its description in RNAcentral is "ITS 1". Lineage: Eukaryota; Fungi; Basidiomycota; Agaricostilbomycetes; Agaricostilbales; Ruineniaceae. The record is from RNAcentral.